CCUACGGGGGGCAGCAGUAGGGAAUAUUGCUCAAUGGGGGAAACCCUGAAGCAGCAACGCCGCGUGGAGGAUGAAGGUUUUCGGAUUGUAAACUCCUUUUGUUAGAGAAGAUAAUGACGGUAUCUAACGAAUAAGCACCGGCUAACUACGUGCCAGCAGCCGCGGUAAUACGGAGGGUGCAAGCGUUACUCGGAAUCACUGGGCGUAAAGAGCGCGUAGGCGGGAUAGCAAGUCAGAUGUGAAAUCCUAUGGCUUAACCAUAGAACUGCAUUUGAAACUGUUAUUCUAGAGUAUGGGAGAGGUAGGUGGAAUGCUUGGGGUAGGGGUGAAAUGCGUAGAGAUCAAGAGGAAUACUCAUUGCGAAGGCGACCUGCUAGAACAUAACUGACGCUGAUGCGCGAAAGCGUGGGGAGCAAACAGGAUUAGAUACCCCGGUAGUC
Molecule: ribosomal RNA, 440 nt
Filed under: uncultured bacterium
Lineage: Bacteria
Description: partial 16S ribosomal RNA
Rfam family: Bacterial small subunit ribosomal RNA
Source: RNAcentral